RNAcentral lists this ribosomal RNA (520 nucleotides) under uncultured bacterium. RNAcentral describes it as "bacterial SSU rRNA". It matches the Rfam family "Bacterial small subunit ribosomal RNA", at positions 452 to 957 of the family's 1533-position model. The record is from RNAcentral.
UCGUGGUCUCUAACAUAGGCCAUGGAUGACGGUACCGGACUAAGAAGCACCGGCUAACUACGUGCCAGCAGCCGCGGUAAUACGUAGGGUGCGAGCGUUAAUCGGAAUUACUGGGCGUAAAGCGUGCGCAGGCGGUUUUUGUAAGACAGAUGUGAAAAUCCCCCGGGGCUUAAACCUGGGAACUGCGUUUGUGACUGCAAGGCUAGAGUACGGCAGAGGGGGGUGGAAUUCCUGGUGUAGCAGUGAAAUGCGUAGAGAUCAGGAGGAACACCGAUGGCGAAGGCAGCCCCCUGGGCCUGUACUGACGCUCAUGCACGAAAGCGUGGGGAGCAAACAGGAUUAGAUACCCUGGUAGUCCACGCCCUAAACGAUGUCGACUAGUCGUUCGGAGCAGCAAUGCACUGAGUGACGCAGCUAACGCGUGAAGUCGACCGCCUGGGGAGUACGGCCGCAAGGUUAAAACUCAAAGGAAUUGACGGGGACCCGCACAAGCGGUGGAUGAUGUGGAUUAAUUCGAUGC